Molecule: ribosomal RNA, 477 nt
Filed under: uncultured bacterium
Lineage: Bacteria
Description: bacterial SSU rRNA
Rfam family: Bacterial small subunit ribosomal RNA
Source: RNAcentral
UUCGCAAUGCCCGAAAGGGUGACGAAGCGACGCCGCGUGUGGGAAGAAGGCCUUCGGGUCGUAAACCACUGUCGGGAGUUAAGAAAUGUAAGGGUGUUAAUAGCGCCUUUGCUUGACUAAGGCUCCGGAGGAAGCCACGGCUAACUCUGUGCCAGCAGCCGCGGUAAUACAGAGGCGGCAAGCGUUGUUCGGAAUUAUUGGGCGUAAAGAGCACGUAGGCGGCUGUGUAAGUCGGUUGUGAAAGCCUUCUGCUUAACGGAAGAACAGCAUCCGAUACUGCAUAGCUCGAGUGCGGGAGGGGAGAGUGGAACUUCUGGUGGAGCGGUGAAAUGCGUAGAUAUCAGAAGGAACGCCGGCGGCGAAAGCGACUCUCUGGCCCGUAACUGACGCUGAGUGUGCGAAAGCUAGGGGAGCAAACGGGAUUAGAUACCCCGGUAGUCCUAGCCGUAAACGAUGGGCACUAAGUAGAGGGGUUUU